RNAcentral lists this ribosomal RNA (305 nucleotides) under uncultured bacterium. RNAcentral's name for it is "bacterial SSU rRNA". It matches the Rfam family "Bacterial small subunit ribosomal RNA", at positions 334 to 636 of the family's 1533-position model. The record is from RNAcentral.
GAGUCCUACGGGGCGCAGCAGUGAGGAAUAUUGGUCAAUGGGCGAGAGCCUGAACCAGCCAAGUCGCGUGAAGGAUGACGGCCCUAUGGGUUGUAAACUUCUUUUGUCAGGGAGCAAUUGGGUCCACGCGUGGGCUUAGCGAGAGUACCUGAAGAAAAAGCAUCGGCUAACUCCGUGCCAGCAGCCGCGGUAAUACGGAGGAUGCGAGCGUUAUCCGGAUUUAUUGGGUUUAAAGGGUGCGUAGGCGGGACCUUAAGUCAGCGGUAAAAUUGCGGUGCUCAACGCCGUAGAGCCGUUGAAACUGG